RNAcentral lists this microRNA precursor (92 nucleotides) under Canis lupus familiaris (dog). RNAcentral describes it as "mir-8799 microRNA precursor family". It matches the Rfam family "mir-8799 microRNA precursor family". The record is from Rfam by way of RNAcentral. Lineage: Eukaryota; Metazoa; Chordata; Mammalia; Carnivora; Canidae.
AGGGUGAGGCCGGAUCCUGGGCUGUGUCUGGGCGCCCAGUGCUCCGGGGCCUGCGCUGUUGGAUUCGCCCCCAAGCCGCUGCCCGAGCCCCU